This 494-nucleotide ribosomal RNA is filed under the name uncultured bacterium. RNAcentral's name for it is "partial 16S ribosomal RNA". It matches the Rfam family "Bacterial small subunit ribosomal RNA", at positions 28 to 507 of the family's 1533-position model. The record is from RNAcentral.
GACGAACGCUGGCGGCGUGCUUAACACAUGCAAGUCGAACGGAAAGGCCUGCUUUCCCUUGUGGAUUGCGGGUACUCGAGUGGCGAACGGGUGAGUAACACGUGAGUGAUCUGCCCCCAACUUGGGUAUAAGCCUGGGAAACUGGGUCUAAUUCCCGAUAGGACUGCAGGGUGGUGCCUGUGGUGGAAAACGAUUUUCUAGUGGUUGGGGAUGAGCUCGCGGCCUAUCAGCUUGUUGGUGGGGUAAUGGCCUACCAAGGCGGCGACGGGUAGCCGGCCUGAGAGGGUGGACGGCCACAUUGGGACUGAGAUACGGUCCAGACUCCUACGGGAGGCAGCAGUGGGGAAUAUUGCACAAUGGGCGGAAGCCUGAUGCAGCGACGCCGCGUGGGGGAUGACGGCCUUCGGGUUGUAAACUCCUUUCGACCGCGAGGAAGCCACCUGGUUGGAAGGGUGGUGACGGUAGUGGUAGAAGAAGCACCGGCUAACUACGUG